This 468-nucleotide ribosomal RNA is filed under the name uncultured bacterium. Its description in RNAcentral is "partial 16S ribosomal RNA". It matches the Rfam family "Bacterial small subunit ribosomal RNA", at positions 28 to 507 of the family's 1533-position model. The record is from RNAcentral.
GACGAACGCUGGCGGCGUGCUUAACACAUGCAAGUCGAACGGAAAGGCCCUGCUUUUGUGGGGUGCUCGAGUGGCGAACGGGUGAGUAACACGUGAGUAACCUGCCCUUGACUUUGGGAUAACUUCAGGAAACUGGGGCUAAUACCGGAUAGGAGCUCCUGCUGCAUGGUGGGGGUUGGAAAGUUUCGGCGGUUGGGGAUGGACUCGCGGCUUAUCAGCUUGUUGGUGGGGUAGUGGCUUACCAAGGCUUUGACGGGUAGCCGGCCUGAGAGGGUGAGCGGCCACAUUGGGACUGAGAUGCGGCCCAGACUCCUACGGGAGGCAGCAGUGGGGAAUAUUGCACAAUGGGCGGAAGCCUGAUGCAGCAACGCCGCGUGCGGUAUGACGGCCUUCGGGUUGUAAACCGCUUUCGCCUGUGACGAAGCGUGAGUGACGGUAAUGGGUAAAGAAGCAACGGCUAACUACGUG